RNAcentral lists this long non-coding RNA (605 nucleotides) under Lynx pardinus (Iberian lynx). The record is from RNAcentral. Lineage: Eukaryota; Metazoa; Chordata; Mammalia; Carnivora; Felidae.
GAGCUUUCUGCCUGGUCCAGACCGCCUGUUCCCUAUGGGGAACACUGGGAAAUUAUGUGUUUCACCAGUCAACCAGCCCCCUUCGUGCCCCCAACAAGCCAAAGGUGUACAGGUGGUUACCUGCACAGGUACCAAAUCGUACCGGGACAACUUCAUUGCUGGCCUUGGGGGACUUCUUUAGGGGAUAGCCCCCACCCCCUCCGCCACCAGUCCCUCCUGCCGGUGGGUAAGAAGGACAGAGAGCCAAGAGGCACAGGUAAGGGUCCCCAGGGCCAGCCAGGCGCCCCCGCGUGCCGGCCGCGACUCCACUGCGCGGUCCUGGCCUCCAGGGCCCCCUCCUCCCGAGCCCCUCCGAGGGGCAGGGGGAGUCCUCGUGCCCGGCACCCCUUCCUGCCGGCCAGCCUGCUCGCCCCGCGCCCGGCCCGGGAGCCCCGAGCUGCCGGAGCCGCAGCGCCCACUCGGGGCGAACCGCGAGCACUCACCAUUAUGCUCUUGCAUGCUCGACAGCGACCAGAGCAGCAGCGCCACCAAGGCCAGGAAGCAGAGCUGGCUCAGCAGAAGGUCCCUCCGGCGGCUCCGGCGACGCUCGCGGUCCUCGUCGUCGG